RNAcentral lists this small RNA (125 nucleotides) under Stenotrophomonas panacihumi. RNAcentral's name for it is "Xanthomonadaceae sRNA Xoo5". It matches the Rfam family "Xanthomonadaceae sRNA Xoo5". Lineage: Bacteria; Pseudomonadati; Pseudomonadota; Gammaproteobacteria; Lysobacterales; Lysobacteraceae. The record is from Rfam by way of RNAcentral.
UUAUGCAAGCAAACGACACUCAGCUCGGCACCAGCGCAGCCCGGAUGGCCUCCGGCAUGACCUCGCGCGCGCGCCGACCGGAACCCCACAUUCUCGCUGGGUAAACCGGAGCGUCGUGCUGUCCG